AUGAAUGUAGGCAUUUGGACUUUUGGAGAGCUGCCGAGAAUAUUGCGAACAGAGCAUAAUCCAGAUAUUUAUGUUAUCUUUUACCAAAUAUUGUAUGACACUUGGAUUAGGUUUAAAAUAAUAAUUGUAGAUCCACCAGGUAGAUCCAUCAGGUUCUGGCUAGACUGGUGGUGUGGCGCUUCUUCGCUGGCGACUACUUUUCCUGUUCUCUUUUCCUAUUGCCCGGACCCUGAGACCUCAAUCUCUGAGCUCGCGUCGAAUAAUUGGGACCUUCGGCUGCGUCGUUCUCUCUCUCCUGCAGAGUUAGAAGACUCACAGCGUCUUGUUGCUUUCUUCCCUUCGCUCUCGGAGGAGGAAGACACGGUUGUCUGGCCCCACUCCCCCUCUGGCCGCUUCUCGGUUAAAUCCCUUUAUGGUAAACUCAUAGCUGGGUCCACCACCUCCAAAUUCAAGUGGAUCUGGAGGGCUUGCAUUCCCCCUAAAGUCAAGGUUUUCCUCUGGCAAGCCUCUCGUGGGCGCCUGCCGACGGGUGACCAAAUUCGUAAGCGUAAUGGCCCGGGAUCGGAAAGUUGUGCUUUAUGUGGCAUGAGAGAGGACACUUCGCAUGUCUUCUUCAACUGUGUGUUGGCUAAUCUGUUUUGGUGUUGUAUCAGAUCUUGGCUGUGUGUUUCUUGGGCUCCGACCUCCUUCUCUGAACUGCGCAUCUUGGUGGAUUCUUUGGUUGGGGCCCAGAGGAGAUUGUUUUGGGUGGGAUUCGCAGCCAUGUGCUGGUCCCUUUGGAUGACAAGGAAUAAAUUUACUAUUAAACAUGUUUUCCCUGCUAAGCCUGUUGAUUGCUUAUUUAAGACCUGUGUAUUCCUGCAGCAGUGGAGAUCAUUGACUAAGGAGGAGGACAGGGACGCCCUCGAUGCCAUGUUGGCCAAGAUACACAAUUCUGCUAUCUCCAUCUCCCCAGUCCAUGCAGGAACUUAG
This 972-nucleotide ribosomal RNA is filed under the name Triticum aestivum (bread wheat). RNAcentral describes it as "partial small subunit ribosomal RNA". The record is from RNAcentral. Lineage: Eukaryota; Viridiplantae; Streptophyta; Magnoliopsida; Poales; Poaceae.